UCCAGACUCCUACGGGAGGCAGCAGUGGGGGAUAUUGCACAAUGGGGGAAACCCUGAUGCAGCGACGCCGCGUGAGUGAAGAAGUAUUUCGGUAUGUAAAGCUCUAUCAGCAGGGAAGAAAAAAGACGGUACCUGACUAAGAAGCCCCGGCUAACUACGUGCCAGCAGCCGCGGUAAUACGUAGGGGGCAAGCGUUAUCCGGAUUUACUGGGUGUAAAGGGAGCGUAGACGGCAAUACAAGUCGGAAGUGAAAUACCCGGGCUCAACCUGGGAACUGCUUUGGAAACUGUAUGGCUGGAGUGCUGGAGAGGUAAGCGGAAUUCCUAGUGUAGCGGUGAAAUGCGUAGAUAUUAGGAGGAACACCAGUGGCGAAGGCGGCUUACUGGACAGUAACUGACGUUGAGGCUCGAAAGCGUGGGGAGCAAACAGGAUUAGAUACCCUUGUACG
Molecule: ribosomal RNA, 448 nt
Filed under: uncultured bacterium
Lineage: Bacteria
Description: bacterial SSU rRNA
Rfam family: Bacterial small subunit ribosomal RNA
Source: RNAcentral